CCAAAAAAUCGGAAGGAUAAAACAUGCUAGUCGAGCGCCCCCCAGCCACGACGGAGGCGCGGCGUACAGCUCAGUCCCUUUUGGCUAACCUGCCCUCGGGACGGGAAUACCCCCGGGAACCUGGGGCUAAUCCCCGAUAGGUGGAGAACUCUGGAAUGAGUCUCCGCCCAAAAGACGCUUAAAUCAUGCUUUUAGGCCCCGCCCAAGGAUGGGGCCGCGACCGAUCAGGUAGUUGGUGAGGCAACGGCUCACCAAGCCUUUAACCGGUGCGGGCCGUGAGAGCGGGAGCCCGGAGAUGGGCACUGAGACAAGGGCCCAGGCCCUACGGGGCGCAGCAGUCGCGAAAACUUUGCAAUACACGAAAGUGUGACAGGGCUAUCCCGAGUGCCAUCCGCUGAGGAAGGCUUUUACCCAGUAUAGAAAGCUGGGAGAAUAAGGAGAGGGCAAGUCUGGUGUCAGCCGCCGCGGUAAUACCAGCUCUCCGAGUGGUGUGGAUAUUUAUUGGGCCUAAAGCAUCCGUAGCUGGCCAAGUUAGUCCCCUGUUAAAUCCACCGAAUUAAUCGUUGGAGUGCGGGGGAUACUGCUCGGCUAGGGGACGAGAGAGGCCGACGGUAUUUUCGGGGUAGGGGUGAAAUCCUAUAAUCCCGGGAAGACCACCAGUGGCGAAGGCUGUCGGCUAGAACGCGCCCGACGGUGAGGGAUGAAAGCUGGGGGAGCGAACCGGAUUAGAUACCCGGGUAGUCCCCAGCUGUAAACGAUGCAGGCUAGGUGUUUGGGUGGCCACGGGCCCCUCUAGUGCCCCAGGGAAAGCCGUUAACCCUGCCGCCUGGGGGAGUACGGCCGCAAGGCU
This 850-nucleotide ribosomal RNA is filed under the name uncultured archaeon. RNAcentral describes it as "bacterial SSU rRNA". It matches the Rfam family "Archaeal small subunit ribosomal RNA", at positions 27 to 850 of the family's 1478-position model. The record is from RNAcentral.